RNAcentral lists this ribosomal RNA (1054 nucleotides) under uncultured bacterium. RNAcentral describes it as "bacterial SSU rRNA". It matches the Rfam family "Bacterial small subunit ribosomal RNA", at positions 1 to 1038 of the family's 1533-position model. The record is from RNAcentral.
CCGAAUUCGUCGACACAGAGUUUGAUCCUGGCUCAGAACGAACGUUGGCGGCGUGGAUUAGGCAUGCAAGUCGAACGAAUCCCGGUCGGGUAACUGACCGGGGGAAGUGGCGAAAGGGGCAGUAAGGCAUGGGUAACUUGCCCCGGAGUCUGGAAUAGCCACCCUAACGGGUGGGUAAUACUGGAUGCCGUGUGGUGGGGGCCUCCCCGUUACACGAAAGCUCCGGCGCUCCGGGAGGGGCCCAUGUAGUAUUAGCUAGUUGGUGGGGUAACGGCCCACCAAGGCGAAGAUGCUUAGCAGGUGUGAGAGCACGACCUGCGCCACUGGCACUGGGACACUGGCCAGACUCCUACGGGAGGCUGCAGUCGAGGAUCUUCGGCAAUGGGCGCAAGCCUGACCGAGCGACGCCGCGUGUGCGAUGAAGGCCUUCGGGUUGUAAAGCACUGUCGGGGGGGAGAAAAGGGCAACCUUGAUCGACCCCCGGAGGAAGCACGGGCUAAGUUCGUGCCAGCAGCCGCGGUAAGACGAACCGUGCGAACGUUGUUCGGAAUCACUGGGCUUAAAGGGCGCGUAGGCGGGCGGGCAAGUCAGAGGUGAAAGCCCACAGCUCAACUGUGGAAGUGCCUUCGAUACUGCCGGUCUAGAGGGAGGUAGGGGCGUGCGGAACUUCCGGUGGAGCGGUGAAAUGCGUAGAUAUCGGAAGGAACACCGGUGGCGAAAGCGGCGCGCUGGAUCUCUACUGACGCUGAGGCGCGAAAGCUAGGGGAGCAAACGGGAUUAGAUACCCCGGUAGUCCUAGCCCUAAACGUUGGGUACUAGGUAGUAGACUUACAUGGGUUUACUGCCGAAGCAAAAGUUUUAAGUACCCCGCCUGGGGGAGUAUGGUCGCAAGGCUGAAACUCAAAGGAAUUGACGGGGGGUCACACAAGCGGUGGAGCAUGUGGCUUUAUUUCAAGCUACGCGAAGAACCUUUAUCUUGGACUUGACUUGUGGGGAAAGCGUCAGGGAAUUACCCCGCGGAAACGUGGGGGCCAACCGGUACCCAAUUCGGAAA